This 231-nucleotide ribosomal RNA is filed under the name Triticum aestivum (bread wheat). RNAcentral describes it as "partial small subunit ribosomal RNA". The record is from RNAcentral. Lineage: Eukaryota; Viridiplantae; Streptophyta; Magnoliopsida; Poales; Poaceae.
CUGCUUCUACUUUCUGUAUGGAGCUGGGAGCGUCUGCCUGUUGGACUCCCGAAGAGCGUCAGGUUUGAUCCUUGGUAUGCAGAUGAACAUGACGAAUUACGGCGCCUCACGUGGGCUUACAAGUGGGAUAUCGUUUCCGAGAUGACGAACGAUGUCAAUCUCAUGUACCAAAAGUACAUUGCCGAGUUGGACACGAUUACGCCUGAGCAGGUAAGGAGGUCAUUACUUUAG